ACCAAAUGACCAAACGGUAAAUUGACAAAUCAAUAAAAUGACUAACCUAAAAUUGUUUGGACCAUUUUGAAGCAGCCUAAUUUAAUUAGUGCUGCUCAUAGCCCGUUUCCAAUUAUUUGGACGGUUAAUAAAUGGAAACCCACUUAAUAGCCCAUUUAUUUGGUUAUUGGGCCUUGAACCAUUACUAUACCCUAAUUCCCCCACUUAACUUGGUCGUCCCCUUCACUUGGAUAUAUGAAUUCAUUCUCUGCCUCUCUUCUCGAGGUGUGUGUGUGUUUGUGUUUGAAAACGGGUGACUUUCUCUUUGUGUCUCUGCCUACUGUUUUCAUUCACUCUAUUGCCUGUGUGGUUACUUCAUCAUUGUGAUUAUAACUUCCUUUGUGAUUUCUAAGUGGGUGAACAAAAAGCAACUGUAAGUGAAGGAGUGGUUGAAGGGAGUUUGGAUUGUUUUUCAAAGUGGUGUCGAUUAUUGGAGGAACUGAGCCCGAAAAACACCUAGGUGAUCUCUUUCGUACAACAAUCAUCAAUGUCAAAUUGAUGGCGUAAGUAUUAGGACCGAGCACUUGUUGCUUUAAAAGAGAAAGGAAGUAUUUUCUGAAGCACAUGUGAUAAUUUGGCCUUUUUGAAGAUUUUGGCCUUUAUGAAAGUUUUGGGAGAGAUGGGACAAAGAUUGAUGGUGGAGAAGGCAUUCAUGGUGGUGGUGGAUGAAGAAAAUGGACAUAUGGUGUGGUUGCGGUAAUGGUAGAUUUGGGAAUGGGAGAGAAAUUGAUAGGUGAGUAAUAGAUACAUGAAAGUUAUUGAGGAGAGAAGAGUAUAUAUUUUAUUAUUAUUAUUAUUAUAAUUUAACACCUGAU
RNAcentral lists this long non-coding RNA (854 nucleotides) under Olea europaea subsp. europaea. Lineage: Eukaryota; Viridiplantae; Streptophyta; Magnoliopsida; Lamiales; Oleaceae. The record is from RNAcentral.